UGGCUCAAUGGUAGAGCGUUCGACUCAAAUACCAAAGGUCCCGGGUUCGAAUCCCUG
This 57-nucleotide transfer RNA is filed under the name Schistocephalus solidus. It matches the Rfam family "tRNA", at positions 8 to 63 of the family's 71-position model. Rfam says of the family: Transfer RNA (tRNA) molecules are approximately 80 nucleotides in length. Their secondary structure includes four short double-helical elements and three loops (D, anti-codon, and T loops). Lineage: Eukaryota; Metazoa; Platyhelminthes; Cestoda; Diphyllobothriidea; Diphyllobothriidae. The record is from Rfam by way of RNAcentral.